RNAcentral lists this transfer RNA (72 nucleotides) under Prevotellaceae bacterium. RNAcentral describes it as "tRNA-Thr". It matches the Rfam family "tRNA". From Rfam's summary of the family: Transfer RNA (tRNA) molecules are approximately 80 nucleotides in length. The record is from RNAcentral. Lineage: Bacteria; Pseudomonadati; Bacteroidota; Bacteroidia; Bacteroidales; Prevotellaceae.
GCCUCCUUAGCUCAGCGGUAGAGCAGCUCAUUCGUAAUGAGCAGGUCGACGGUUCAAAUCCGUUGGGAGGCU